CCCAAGGCCCAGAGCCUGCUGGACAGGGACUGCCUCUGAGCUUGUGCCCAUGAGCCCUGCCCCGUCCUUCCUGGGCACGGCCCCCCGUCUGCAUGUUCUGUGUGCAACCCUGGGGCCCCUCCUAGAAUGCCGCCUACUGCACAGAGACUAGAGGGUUCUCCUCCCUUCCUUUGUUUACCAGACAUGGACGCAGUGCCCACAGUCCCUGCCCACAGUCAUAGAACUCGAGGCCCCAGAGCUCUGGACAGCCAUCUCGUGCCUUCAGAGAGCAUGAAUCACCGCCUUCAAGAACCAGGCAUGGUUUCAUGAAAGCCAGGGCUCUGCAAGCUCUCCCCACCUAGAGGUCUCUGCA
Tupaia belangeri chinensis (Chinese tree shrew) is the source of this 352-nucleotide long non-coding RNA. RefSeq lists it as uncharacterized. The record is from RefSeq and is a predicted model, not a curated record. The transcript has 3 exons. NCBI's taxonomy places the organism in Eukaryota, Metazoa, Chordata, Mammalia, Scandentia, Tupaiidae.